Molecule: ribosomal RNA, 468 nt
Filed under: uncultured bacterium
Lineage: Bacteria
Description: partial 16S ribosomal RNA
Rfam family: Bacterial small subunit ribosomal RNA
Source: RNAcentral
GACGAACGCUGGCGGCGUGCCUAACACAUGCAAGUCGAACGGAAAGGCCCUGCUUUCUUGGGGUGCUCGAGUGGCGAAGGGGUGAGUAACACGUGAGUAACCUGCCCUUGACUUUGGGAUAACUUCAGGAAACUGGGGCUAAUACCGGAUAGCAGCUGACGCUGGAUGGUGGGGGUUGGAAAGUUUCGGCUGUUGGGGAUGGACUAGCGGCUUACCAGCUUGUUGGUGGGGGAGUGGCUUACCAAGGAUUUGAAGGGUAGCCGGCGUGGGAGGGGGACCGGCGUCAAUAGGCCUACGGUAGGGACCAGAGUGCAACGGGGGACAACGGGGGGAAGUAUUACCCAGUGAGAGGGAGCGGGAUGCGGAGACGCCGGGUGUGGGAAGACGGCUUUCGGGUUGUGAACCGCAUUCGGCUGUGACGAAGCGUUAGUGACGGUAAUGGGUGAAGAAGCACCGGCUAACUACGUG